RNAcentral lists this long non-coding RNA (2037 nucleotides) under Ceratitis capitata (Mediterranean fruit fly). RNAcentral's name for it is "uncharacterized LOC110117791". Lineage: Eukaryota; Metazoa; Arthropoda; Insecta; Diptera; Tephritidae. The record is from RNAcentral.
AUAAUAAAAUAACGCAAUGUAGCCUUAUUCAUGAGCAAAUACUGUAAUCGGGUUAAUAUGUUGGUGUUUUAUUCUUAAAUGUGUAGUAGUGACGUAUAUAUAUAUGUUUCUUUGUGCAAAAACAUUUAGAAAUAAUGGAAGAUCGUACUGUUGCCUUAUUCAUAAACGGAUAUCGGGUUCAAAUGUUGGUGCUUUAUUCACAAACGGGGAGUUACAAUGGAAUUAUAUUUUGUUCUUCAUUAAAAUCAUCUGGAAAUAAUAGAACAAAGUAAUAAUGCCUUUAUCAUAAAUGGACACUAUUAUCGGGUUAAAAUGUUAGUGCUUUAUUCAUAAACGGGUAGUAAUAACGAACUAACGUAUAUGUUUCUUCCCUUAAAAACAUCCAGAAAGUAUAAAACAACGUAAUAUUGAUUUAUUCAUAUACGGGUAGUAAUAGCGGAAUUACGUACGUGUCUUUAUUUAAAAUGAUUUACGUGUAUUCAAUAGUAAUUUGGAGUCAGUAGCAACAAAGCUACAUGGGUCAGAAAACCCUGCUAAAGUAACUUUAAUAGUUCCAAACAAGAGUCGCUUGCGAUCGAUGCAAAAGCCCUACUUAAGAUGGCAUUGAGACAAGACGAAUCGAAAGCUAUGAAAAAUCGUUUUCCCUUACAAAACUUUUCUGUCCCAUAUUACAACAAGUCCACGAAAAUUAUAUAAUUCCUACACAUCAAUUUGGUUUUCGCAAAACAUGGCACAAUUGAACAAGUAAAUAGCAUAACAAAUGGAAUUAAAAAAAGAUUUCGAAUUCAAAGAGUAUUGUUCGGUCGUUUUUCUUGAUGUCGCUCCAGCACUUGACAAGGUUCAACAAGCAACAACACCAUGGCAACGGAAACUGGAAAUUCUCGCAAUUUGGAGCACCUUGUAAAAAGAUAGGAAAUCCGCCGAAAGAAAAUUUUAAAGAGAUGUUAUCGGUUUUGCAGGACUCUGUCCCUGUUUCAAGGAGAGAAGCUUGAAGAUGACCCCCGCCUGAGGUCGCGAAAAGGUCAGCAGCCACUCGUAAAGGAUAAUAUAACAGAAGAGUAUCCAGUUUUCUUUGGUCAUAAUUCUACAUAUUGUUCACCGCAAAUAUUCCUACAAGUGACAAAGUAAUUUCGUCGAAAUUUGCAGAUGAUUCUGCUAUAACAAGCUGGUUCAAAUGCACCAUAAACUAAUUUAAGAAUGGCUAGCAAAAUGGCACAUAAAGUUAAUGAGAACAAGUGCAAGCAUUUAACUUUUACGCUAAAAAAUACCCUAUUGUCAAGCUCAAUUAUGUACUAAUUCCAUAAGCUGACGAAAUUACAUACCUCAGGAGACCCAGUUAUGGAGACCAGCUUGCGGAACGAAUUUAGAUAAGUUAACGCUGUUAACACUCAAGAGAUUCAACCAUACGUUUCCCACGUACGGAAGCGCGGCAACAACAACAAUGCUGAUGCCAUGUCUGCUACGUAACAGUAGACGGUACAUGCACAGCCAUUCCGCCAAUUCAGCAACAAGUCACCUGUGCCCGUAACGUGAUACAGAAGUUUAAUGUUAAGAAAAUAAUAUUGUAAAAUUAGUCUUAGUUUUACUUUGUAUAAAAAAAGGUGACUUCGGCCAAUUUUUUUUACAAAUAUAUAAUAUAAAAUAAAAAAACUCCACAUGUGGUACAAAUAUUGGAACCGCGACAACACAACCCACAAGAACAGCUUCUCAAGUAGCAGCAACAACGGUGACAACAGUAGCUCCUCAAGUAGCAGCAACAACGGGGAAACCAACAGCUCCUCAAGUAGCAGAAACAGCGAUGAAACCAAGUAGCAGCAACCUACAACAUCAGUGCAGUCUCCUGUGACAGCAGAACGCACUAACCGUGAAGAGAACGAAAAAAGAGUGGUAUGAUAUCUUGAAAAAUCAAUAAUGGAAGACAUAUUCAGUUAUAGAAGUAAGCGAAAGAAAAUAGGGAAAUAUCGUGAAAACAAAGUUUAUAAAGUAUCUCGAAAAACAAAAUUGUAAUAGAGAUAAAAAGUAAAAGUAGAAAAAAGA